ACAAAUCUGCUAUGCGGCCGAGUCUUCGGACUUGACGCAUAUAUUAGCCCCGAGCCUGGCAGUAAUGUCGGCUUUGGUUGGGUGGGACGCAAGUCCUGCUCCGGUUGUGUGAGGACGCAAGGUCCUUGCCAGCCACAUAGACGCUCGUAUGUUUGACAGAGUUACAGUUGUAAAACUAAAAUGA
RNAcentral lists this unclassified non-coding RNA (184 nucleotides) under soil metagenome. RNAcentral's name for it is "partial internal transcribed spacer 1". The record is from RNAcentral.